UCCCGUGUGGCUCAGUUGGUAGAGCAUGGUGUUUGCAACGCCAGGGGUUGUGGGUUCGAUUCCCACGGGGGAA
RNAcentral lists this transfer RNA (73 nucleotides) under Salmo salar (Atlantic salmon). It matches the Rfam family "tRNA". Rfam says of the family: Transfer RNA (tRNA) molecules are approximately 80 nucleotides in length. Their secondary structure includes four short double-helical elements and three loops (D, anti-codon, and T loops). The record is from Rfam by way of RNAcentral. Lineage: Eukaryota; Metazoa; Chordata; Actinopteri; Salmoniformes; Salmonidae.